GGGUCUAUAGUUUAGUGGUAAAAUUUCGGUCUCCAAAACCGACGUCCGAGGUUCGAGUCCUCGUGGACCCG
Molecule: transfer RNA, 71 nt
Filed under: Flavobacteriaceae bacterium
Lineage: Bacteria; Pseudomonadati; Bacteroidota; Flavobacteriia; Flavobacteriales; Flavobacteriaceae
Also listed under: 2 other names
Description: tRNA-Trp
Rfam family: tRNA
About the family: Transfer RNA (tRNA) molecules are approximately 80 nucleotides in length. Their secondary structure includes four short double-helical elements and three loops (D, anti-codon, and T loops). Further hydrogen bonds mediate the characteristic L-shaped molecular structure. tRNAs have two regions of fundamental functional importance: the anti-codon, which is responsible for specific mRNA codon recognition, and the 3' end, to which the tRNAs corresponding amino acid is attached (by aminoacyl-tRNA synthetases). tRNAs cope with the degeneracy of the genetic code in two manners: having more than one tRNA (with a specific anti-codon) for a particular amino acid; and 'wobble' base-pairing, i.e. permitting non-standard base-pairing at the 3rd anti-codon position.
Source: RNAcentral